AGUCCGUGUGGUGUAUCAAUCAUCACACUGUUUGACAACAUCUCGACACUGCGCCCCCCCCCCUACAACGAUCCAAAGGACCACCUUUUUCCUUGAUGCAAGCCUGGAUCAGAAUCUUAGAAAGCAAAUCUCGGUUACACGCUCACAAAUAAUGCAAUUUUCCUGUUACCAUAGGAAGGAAGUACGCAUAUAUAUGAAUCAUGUGUAACAACAAACAAAGCCAACCGAACUAGUACUACAUAUUCAUAUGGAGAAGAAAAAAGGAACACGCUCGAGCUAGCGGCAGCACGUAGAAACAAAGCCCGUGCCCCUGAUGGGUGAAUAUAUAAGGUGUGCUGUUAGCUUUGUUUCUUUAUGGAUCUCUCAAAAGAAAAGAAAAAAAACUUUGUUUCUUUAUGGUGGAGCACAUCAGCGUCAGUGUCCAUGACCCAGAUAUGUACGCACACGAAAGGCCAUCUGCCCUCGCUAGCUGCUGCUGCUGCUAGUGUCAAAAUCACCAACCGCAACGGCAGCAGCAAAUCCCAUGGAAUCUCGUCACAGUCUUUUCCGGACCCCUCACUGUUUGCUCAAGUCGAGACAGACGUAGCAACCCAGCACUAGCCACGGUUCGCUAGCUCCCCCGCCGGGUUUUCUGGUUGGCGCGUGCGCUAGCUACGAGCCUCCGUGCAGCGAGACGAGAUCGAUCUCAUUUGGCGUUUGAAAAACUCUGGCGCGGGCGACACAUAACGGCUUGACUGGACGUGUCAAGCGGGCUUCUUUCCGACCUGAUUUUACUGAGGUUGAAGUCUUCGUAGGAAAGAGUUUUUGCUUACUGCUGCAGGCCGAGAUGAUCAAUAAAGUGAAAACAAAUGAGCCAUAUCGAUCAUGUUUAUUGGUAACCAAAUAGAAGCUUUAUCUGGACUAACUAAGAGUGCACGUAUGUACAUAACCACCUAGAAAAAUAGAAAAAAGGGCGCAGAUUACCAAACAUUCAUAACAGAAAAAAAAAAUUAGCGCGAGGUCGCAAGGAGAAGCGGAAAGUUACAUAUAGCACGGCAGAAGUCGCUACUACAUAUGUAUGUAUUACCGACGGGUCUUGAACCUUCACAUAUGACGCGUGAGGUAUUAGUCAUUAAUUUGUCAUGCUUGGUGACUCCGGUCAACACUUGUGACCACUCACCGUUGACGGGCCUGACGAGAAAUGUCCGUAGGCGGUGACCUUUUCAGUGCAGAACUGGGAGUCCGUAGUGUUUGAACUUCUGAGUCGGACAAGUUCUCUGGCUUCCUCCGAUAGAUUUACGUCGGAACCGUCGAAAGAAAUUGGGUUUCUCUCGAUUGU
This 1318-nucleotide long non-coding RNA is filed under the name Brachypodium distachyon (stiff brome). RNAcentral's name for it is "long non-coding RNA (BDIS_LNC000426)". The record is from RNAcentral. Lineage: Eukaryota; Viridiplantae; Streptophyta; Magnoliopsida; Poales; Poaceae.